AGCAGGGCAGGAUUCAAUUUUCUGCCACCGAAUACAUUAGCAUGGGAUAAUGGAAUAGGACCCUGUCCUCCUAUUUUCAGUUGGUUUUGGCAGCGCGAGGACUAGGGUAAUGAUUAAUAGGGAUAGUUGGGGGCAUUAAUAUUUAAUUGUCAGAGGUGAAAUUCUUGGAUUUAUGAAAGAUUAACUUCUGCGAAAGCAUCUGCCAAGGAUGUUUUCAUUAAUCAAGAACGAAAGUUAGGGGAUCGAAGACGAUCAGAUACCGUCGUAGUCUUAACCAUAAACGAUGCCGACCAGCGAUUAGGAGACGUUGAAUACAAAACACCACCAUCGGCGCGGUCGUCCUUGGCGUUCGUGUUCACGCACGAGCGCGAGGGCGGUUUAGCCCGAUGGCACCGGUGAAUGACUCCCUAGCACAUUGUGAGAACGUGGACGA
RNAcentral lists this ribosomal RNA (433 nucleotides) under Acanthamoeba genotype T4. RNAcentral's name for it is "SSU rRNA". The stretch from base 1 to 357 matches the Rfam family "Eukaryotic small subunit ribosomal RNA", at positions 779 to 1114 of the family's 1831-position model. Lineage: Eukaryota; Discosea; Longamoebia; Acanthamoebidae. The record is from RNAcentral.